Molecule: ribosomal RNA, 253 nt
Filed under: uncultured bacterium
Lineage: Bacteria
Description: partial 16S ribosomal RNA
Rfam family: Bacterial small subunit ribosomal RNA
Source: RNAcentral
UACGUAGGGUGCGAGCGUUAAUCGGAAUUACUGGGCGUAAAGCGUGCGCAGGCGGUUUUGUAAGCCCGAUGUGAAAUCCCCGGGCUUAACCUGGGAAUGGCAUUUGGGACUGCAAAGCUGGAGUGCGGCAGAGGGGACUGGAAUUCCUGGUGUAGCAGUGAAAUGCGUAGAGAUCAGGAGGAAUACCGAUGGCGAAGGCAGGUCCCUGGGUUGACACUGACGCUCAUGCACGAAAGCGUGGGGAGCAAACAGG